UGCCGUGACGUAUAGCCUUGGUUGGGGAAGUUUCCUUUUUGGGGUGAGGGCUCGGUGGGACAAACGAGCCCCUGAUUGCUCGCUAGAUAGGUCCAAAAGAUUUUAGAGUAGAUUCGGCAGUCUCCAGACAGCAAUUUCAGUGGGAGGACACAAUGUUUCGAUUCGUCUAGGAGCUCUGCACUGGAGUGCUACCUAUGUGGUCUUAAGAUAUGGUAAUUACUAGGUUGGACUGUAGUGGUUUCACCCAACACUGGACUCUAUCAAUAGAACUUUUUAUUUCCCUAUCUUAGUAAUUUUUCAAUGCAUCAAAUCGAUACAAAUCAGUUCAGGAGGAAAGAUCAAGGAUUAGUUGGUUCUGAAGAAGUUCAUCACAUUGUUAUCUACGCUAGGUUAAAAGCUUUUUCUUCCAUGUUGUUCAAGCUCAAAGAGAGUAGGACACAUGUUUGUACAUAAUGGGGUUUGACCGUUUGAGGUUAUGUGGAAUCUCAUUUGCCCAGCCUAAAUAUAAAAAAAUCAGAACUUUAAACUUAGCUGUUGGAGAAAGUCUAACUUUGACCACCAACAAUAAUAUUAGUCACUGAUUAUUGUCCUGUCAAGUGCAAAAAAACUGAAUACUUUGCUCUCUCACGGAUGAAUAAAAGCUUUGACGAUGAUUUUGUUUACUCUGCCAGCUGAACACCCACUGUAUAUAGUACUACCAAUGUCUAUAAAUAAACGUCUAAGAUUUGUUUAAAUCUAAAUGUAUCUAAAGUUCUAAACGCUAUUUAGCGGCUAGAUACAUUCAAAUUUAGAUAAAUCUUAGACGUCUAUUAAUAGACGGAGGGAGUAUGUUUUUUCUCUGUUUUUGUGUUAGAGCUACACACUUUGUCAUUAGACCUUCUGAAGGUGCACUGACUUGAAUCUUGACUACGAAAUUGUCGAUCAGAACAAGCUCAAGGCUUCCACUUCCCGUGGUGGAAGAGCUAUACGCCAGGGCCGUGGCCACGGUACAAUGACUAUGAUGAUGUGCGUGUGGAGAGGUCUAAAGGCAAGUGCUAUGUUUUCAUGUUCACAUUGUGCAGUCAAUGCUUAGUUUUAUUUUUAUUAUUUAAUUCCUAUUUCAGAUGCGCUGGUUCUUGCAAGCGAGCUAUCAUACGGAGGCAAUUGGGUACACAAUACUCGCAUGGUUCAUCGUUUCAGAGGUAUAUCUCUGAUGUUCGGAAAGCUUACUGCUAUUUUUUCUUGUGGUUCUAUAGGCCAUGCUCUAGACAAAGAAGACAUGUUUCAAAUGUAUUUAUAUGCUGAUUCAUGGCAAUUUCGUAUCCUUUAUGACUUUUGCUAAUGUAUAAAUAUGUUUUUCUUGUAAAUGAUUCGAGUUCCAAAA
Lolium perenne is the source of this 1363-nucleotide long non-coding RNA. RefSeq lists it as uncharacterized. Lineage: Eukaryota; Viridiplantae; Streptophyta; Magnoliopsida; Poales; Poaceae. The record is from RefSeq and is a predicted model, not a curated record.